This 247-nucleotide ribosomal RNA is filed under the name uncultured bacterium. Its description in RNAcentral is "partial small subunit ribosomal RNA". It matches the Rfam family "Bacterial small subunit ribosomal RNA", at positions 26 to 285 of the family's 1533-position model. The record is from RNAcentral.
AGAAUCAACGCUGGCGGCGUGCCUAACACAUGCAAGUCGAACGAGAAAGUGGUAGCAAUACCAUGAGUACAGUGGCGCACGGGUGAGUAACACGUGACUAACCUACCCUGGAGUGGGGGAUAACUGAUGGAAACCUUAGCUAAUACCGCAUAAUACCUACGGGUCAAAGGAGCAAUUCGCUUCAGGAGGGGGUCGCGGCCGAUUAGUUAGUUGGCGGGGUAAUGGCCCACCAAGACAGUGAUCGGUA